CUUGCUUGCAACGUGAGCAGAAGCAGAGACCGCAGCAGCUUUUGGCAGUUAGUCAGUGAAGUGUGGCGGGUUUCUCGGGUUGCAGCCCCCUGGCUGGGAGGCACAGGAAAUCAGUUCACCAACUCUAGCUGCUGCAGCUAUGGGUGCAGNGUUGCUGGUGGUCUGAAGCUCCGUCACCAAGAUGUUUAGGCUUUGCAAUUUACUUGGGUUUGACACCUUCAGAAAAGAAAACCAUCCCUCCUUCUUACUGACAGCUCCUAAGGCAAUAAAGUAAGAUGGAUUCAGUUUCUCAGUUUAAUGCUUUGUAUCUUGCACUUCGAAAAAGCCUUCUUUUGAACAGUCCCUUCUUUUCCCCUAUGGGUUGUUAAAUAAAAGCCCAGAAGGCAACUGCAUUCCGAACAGACAGCAAGUCGAGAGUUAACCUUGAAGAUCAAAGGCCAGUCUUUGAAUUCUUUCAAGAAAUUGUUGCAAACAAAAUUCGGAAGCAAUGAAGCAGCAGUGAGCAUUAGUGCAGAAUGCAGCAAGUAGCCUGAGGAACACAAAACCAACCACUAUCUUGUGCGCAGUGUACUUUGUGGGGAAAAUCUGUUUAUGGCUUCAUCCUUGGAGGACGGGACGGCCAAGACCUUGUUCUCUGCGUUUGCUGCUGCAGUACUUGUUGCUGCAUCUGCCUGCCUCAUGGUGCUGUGCACCCUCUGCAAAAGGAAAGACAAGAAUGAGACUCUUCCGCAGAAUGGGGUGAUGCCGAAUGAAACCUCUCUGCUGAGACAGAUGGAAUCCUCAUCGCUCAGGGGAUCGGCCCCCAACUUGCAGAAGUGCCAGAGGGCAAAUUCCAAGAAGAAAAGUA
Molecule: long non-coding RNA, 847 nt
Filed under: Salvator merianae (Argentine black and white tegu)
Lineage: Eukaryota; Metazoa; Chordata; Lepidosauria; Squamata; Teiidae
Description: lncRNA (ENSSMRG00000019469.1)
Source: RNAcentral